GCUAAUUUUUAUUUCUUCAUUCAUGAACUUUCUUUUGCAAAACAUGGAUAUUUUUGGGGGAAAAAAAAAAAAAUGGAAAAAUCUGACUUAUCACCUUAAUUUGCAGCAACAAGUCCAUGACGAUGGUACUUCAAACAAGUGUCUAUUGUGACUCCGAGAUCCGUGGCUGUAAUUUGCAUGGGGACAGGUGUGAUAUCUAUGUAAUACACACUAUCUUUUCCCAAUAAUACAUAUACUAUAUACUAUUACGGCCCUCGUACCCGCCUCGCCAACCACUAAUCUCUCCAACUAACCAUCGGCCUCGAAUACCGUCUCGACCACACCGUGGCGGUAUCAUAAAGUCGAAGCUUUGGAAACACGUCUCGAUUCACGUUUCGAUCGAACUAACCGAGCUGGCGACCUCCACUCUUCGUCAGUCUCACUCGCUUCUCGCAGUUGGAGCCAUCCUCUCUCCUGCUGCCUGAUUUCGGUCAAAUCGACAAGCCAAGAGCUGAAUGAUGCAAAGCUAGCACAACUCACCCAGGAGACCCAAGUGAUGUGGCACGCAGGAGGAAGAGGAGAAGCAGCUGCACCUGGUGUAGGAGGACGUGGCCAUGCAGACUGGCCAUGCAGACUGCCAUCGGGUCUAUGGAGAUGAGGACAUGUCAGCACACCUGCACAAAGUACACACUUCCACCCUGCUUCAGUGAGAAUGGCCCCUCACUGCUACUCUGUACUCAUGUUUUAUACAUUCCACCUCAAAUUAUUUGAACACAACAAAUCUCACUACAUAACACAUUCCCAACAGUCUCUCUCUCUCUCUCUCUCUCUCUCUCUCUCUCUCUCUCUCUCUCUCUCUCUCUCUCUCUCUCUCUCUCUCUCUCUCUCUCUCU
Molecule: long non-coding RNA, 872 nt
Organism: Scylla paramamosain (green mud crab)
Lineage: Eukaryota; Metazoa; Arthropoda; Malacostraca; Decapoda; Portunidae
Exons: 2
Source: RefSeq, a predicted model, not a curated record